UACGAAGGGGGCUAGCGUUGUUCGGAUUUAUUGGGCGUAAAGAGCUCGUAGGCGGCUCAGUAAGUCAGAUGUGAAAACUCAGGGCUCAACCCGGAGACGCCAUCUGAUACUGCUGUGGCUUGAGUCUGGUAGGGGAUCACGGAAUUCCUGGUGUAGCGGUGAAAUGCGCAGAUAUCAGGAGGAACACCGAUGGCGAAGGCAGUGAUCUGGGCCAGUACUGACGCUGAGGAGCGAAAGCGUGGGUAGCAAACAGG
This 254-nucleotide ribosomal RNA is filed under the name uncultured bacterium. Its description in RNAcentral is "partial 16S ribosomal RNA". It matches the Rfam family "Bacterial small subunit ribosomal RNA", at positions 524 to 776 of the family's 1533-position model. The record is from RNAcentral.